UACGGAGGGUGCAAGCGUUACUCGGAAUCACUAGGCGUAAAGCGCAGGUAGGUGGCUAGAUAAGUUUCUUGUGAAAGCUCCCGGCUUAACUGGGAGAGGCCAAGGAAUACUGUUUGGCUUGAGUAUGGUAGGGGUAACUGGAAUUCCCGGUGUAGCGGUGAAAUGCGUAGAUAUCGGGAGGAAUACCUAUGGCGAAGGCAGGUUACUGGGCCAUUACUGACACUGAGCUGCGAAAGCUAGGGGAGCAAACAGG
Molecule: ribosomal RNA, 253 nt
Filed under: uncultured bacterium
Lineage: Bacteria
Description: partial 16S ribosomal RNA
Rfam family: Bacterial small subunit ribosomal RNA
Source: RNAcentral